ACUUAGUCAAAUUUUACCACGCCUCACGUUUACACUUAAUUAAACACAACCCCAACCACCCCUCUACACGCCUCACGCCGCCGAUCUGCAAUCAACCGCCGCUGGUGCCGCUCUACCGUCCACAUACACCUCCGCUGCUCUCCUCCAAACGCUGCUGCUGCUUUUCUCAGCUUACGUCGCCGCCGCAGCUGCUCUGCUCUAAACGUUGCUGCUCCGCACUCCACCGCCACCGCCACCGCCGCUACUCUGCUCUGAACGCCGCCGCCGCCGUUUCUUUCCAUAGAGAGAUACAUCACAUGCUUUUGUUGUCCUAGAAGAGCUUGUCAAGGUCUACACUUUAGCAUUGUUGCUAAAGAAAAAAGAAUAAGCUAAAGAUACGUUAAGAGAAGAGUUUAUUACAAAGUAAGAAUUUUGGAGGGUCGUCAGCAAGUGGACCGCAAACUUGAAGAGAUGAAGAAAAUUUCAAUGAUGAGCGCGAGAAGAGAAUGGAAUUAGAGGAAGAUAUGACGAUUCUAAAUGAGAAGAUGGACCAGUUGAUGUACCAUAGUCCUAUAACUCCCGUUGUUCAGUCUCGUAGUCAUGAUUCUGAAGAAUUAUGAGUUUGACCACUAUUUUGUAAUUCACUAUCAACUAUAUUCCAAAGUCAUGACAAUAUCGAACUUCAUGUAAUUUGCAAAAUAUUUAUUAGUAUAUUUAUUAUAUUA
Molecule: long non-coding RNA, 704 nt
Organism: Salvia hispanica
Lineage: Eukaryota; Viridiplantae; Streptophyta; Magnoliopsida; Lamiales; Lamiaceae
Source: RefSeq, a predicted model, not a curated record